Molecule: long non-coding RNA, 2972 nt
Organism: Homo sapiens (human)
Lineage: Eukaryota; Metazoa; Chordata; Mammalia; Primates; Hominidae
Gene: UBE2F-SCLY
Product: UBE2F-SCLY readthrough (NMD candidate)
Exons: 19
Source: RefSeq, marked validated
UUUUUUUUUUAAAGCGCCCGCUGCUGUCUCGGCUGCCGCGGGCGAGAGCGGCCGAGUCCCCGCCCCGCCACUUCCGGUCCCGCCGCCGGGAGCCGGUGCGGCUGUGAGGGGCCGCGUCUCGCAGCAGCCGCCCGGACCGGGCAUGGUGUUGGGCGCCGGGCCCGCCUCGCCUGUCUCGGGGAGCCCAGGGUAAAGGCAGCAGUAAUGCUAACGCUAGCAAGUAAACUGAAGCGUGACGAUGGUCUCAAAGGGUCCCGGACGGCAGCCACAGCGUCCGACUCGACUCGGAGGGUUUCUGUGAGAGACAAAUUGCUUGUUAAAGAGGUUGCAGAACUUGAAGCUAAUUUACCUUGUACAUGUAAAGUGCAUUUUCCUGAUCCAAACAAGCUUCAUUGUUUUCAGCUAACAGUAACCCCAGUUUAUUGAGAGAACAUUCAAUUGAUGGCACUGGCUGGGCUCCCACAAGAACAUUAAAGGAUGUCGUUUGGGGAUUAAACUCUUUGUUUACUGAUCUUUUGAAUUUUGAUGAUCCACUGAAUAUUGAAGCUGCAGAACAUCAUUUGCGGGACAAGGUGAGAAUUCUAUUUGGUGCACGUGCUAUUGUGUCCGGAAUUGGUGGGUUCUUGGUCUCACUGACUUCAAGAAUGAAGCCGCGGACCCUCGCGGAAAGUUUAUAUGGACUAUAAUGCAACGACUCCCCUGGAGCCAGAAGUUAUCCAGGCCAUGACCAAGGCCAUGUGGGAAGCCUGGGGAAAUCCCAGCAGCCCGUAUUCAGCAGGAAGAAAGGCCAAGGAUAUUAUAAAUGCAGCUCGGGAAAGCCUCGCGAAGAUGAUAGGGGGGAAACCUCAAGAUAUAAUCUUCACUUCCGGGGGCACUGAGUCAAAUAAUUUAGUAAUCCAUUCUGUGGUGAAACAUUUCCACGCAAACCAGACCUCAAAGGGACACACAGGUGGGCACCACAGCCCAGUGAAGGGGGCCAAGCCCCAUUUCAUUACUUCCUCGGUGGAACACGACUCCAUCCGGCUGCCCCUGGAGCACCUGGUGGAAGAACAAGUGGCAGCGGUCACCUUUGUCCCGGUGUCCAAGGUGAGCGGGCAGGCAGAGGUGGACGACAUCCUCGCGGCAGUCCGCCCGACCACACGCCUCGUGACCAUCAUGCUGGCCAACAAUGAGACUGGCAUUGUCAUGCCUGUCCCUGAAAUCAGUCAGCGCAUUAAAGCCCUGAACCAGGAACGGGUGGCAGCUGGGCUACCUCCCAUCCUCGUGCACACGGAUGCUGCACAGGCCUUGGGGAAGCAGCGCGUGGAUGUGGAGGACCUGGGCGUGGACUUCCUUACAAUCGUGGGGCACAAGUUUUAUGGUCCCAGGAUUGGCGCACUUUAUAUACGAGGACUUGGUGAAUUUACCCCUCUCUACCCUAUGCUAUUUGGAGGUGGACAAGAACGGAAUUUCAGGCCAGGGACAGAGAACACCCCAAUGAUUGCUGGCCUUGGGAAGGCCGCGGAGCUGGUGACCCAGAACUGCGAGGCUUAUGAGGCCCACAUGAGGGACGUCCGCGACUACCUGGAAGAGAGGCUGGAAGCUGAAUUCGGUCAGAAGAGAAUCCAUCUGAAUAGCCAGUUUCCAGGCACCCAGCGGCUUCCCAAUACCUGUAACUUUUCCAUCCGGGGACCCCGGCUUCAAGGCCACGUGGUGCUUGCGCAGUGCCGAGUGCUGAUGGCCAGUGUGGGGGCCGCGUGCCACUCGGACCACGGGGACCAGCCGUCCCCAGUGCUGCUGAGCUACGGUGUCCCCUUCGACGUGGCCAGGAACGCGCUCCGGCUCAGCGUGGGCCGCAGCACCACCAGGGCCGAGGUGGACCUCGUCGUGCAGGACCUGAAGCAGGCCGUGGCGCAGCUGGAGGACCAGGCCUAGCACUGGGGCCGCCUUCCCCACCCCGCUUCUGGGAAGCCCGUGGCAGGGCACAGGGUUGUCCCUCCAGUUCCCUCCUGAGGGCUGUGCCAGGAUGACUGUCUCAUGCCCCCUCUGCAUUUUGUCCUGGAGUGCCAGCGAGUGUGCACCCCCAGUUUCCUUCCCUGGACCCCUGCAGAGCUCACAGGGCCCAGGACACCAACGCCGCAUAGGACUGCCCACAUGGGACCGCCCACAUAGGACCGCCCACAUAGGACCGCCCACAUGGGACCGCCCACAUGGGACCGCCCACAUGGGACCGCCCACAUAGAACCGUCCUCCAGUGGUGAAGCGGAAACACUUAGCUUUAUCCACCCUCCCCACUGGGAACUGGGCACGCCUGUUGUGAGUGCCCUUUCCUGGAAGGUGUUUUUAUCUGGAAGAUAGAAUCCAAGUAUUUAUAACUCAUUGUCAGCCAAAUGCUAUCAUGAACGUAGGAAACUUGAUUUUUUUGUUUUGAUCAUGGCCUCUACAUGCACCUUUCCAGAGUGGUCUCUUCUCAGGCCCUUUUUAGUCCCUUUCCAAAGCUGCCCCCACCACCCUGCUCCUCUGGCCUCAGUGCACAGUGGCCCCCAGCCUCGGCCAGGCCUGCUCUGCUCAGCGCCCACCGCCCACCACCCCUCCUGCUUCCCCGAGCCUGACCCUGUUCCGCCCACUGGCAAUCAGGGCUGCGCACUUCCCUGUCCACGGUCCCCAGGCCUUCCUGUCUUGUCCCUUUUGAUCAUUAUUAACUCAGGGUUUCAGCUCCAACCUCGCUGAGUUGGUGCAGCUCCAGGUCAUUCCUGGGGUGGGAAUCGGAUCAUCCCUGACUCAGCUUUUACCUUAAUUUUAUUUGCAGAGGAUUCUUUUCUCAAAAUGCUCUGGCAUUUGGACACACAUCACAUGUCGAUAUUUGCAUAGGAGUCAUUUUCAGUGGAAUAACAUUUUUAAUGUGUGGUUUUACGGUUCAAGGAACUACUUGAUGAUUUUGAGGAAACACUUGCCAGAAACUAAAUUAACGAAUAAAAGAUUUCAGUGCCCGA